AGUCGAGGGGCAGCAUCAUCAAAGCUUGCUUUGAUGGAUGGCGACCGGCGCACGGGUGAGUAACACGUAUCCAACCUGCCGACAACACUGGGAUAGCCUUUCGAAAGAAAGAUUAAUACCGGAUGGCAUAGUUUUUCCGCAUGGGAUAAUUAUUAAAGAAUUUCGGUUGUCGAUGGGGAUGCGUUCCAUUAGGCAGUUGGCGGGGUAACGGCCCACCAAACCAACGAUGGAUAGGGGUUCUGAGAGGAAGGUCCCCCACAUUGGAACUGAGACACGGUCCAAACUCCUACGGGAGGCAGCAGUGAGGAAUAUUGGUCAAUGGACGAGAGUCUGAACCAGCCAAGUAGCGUGAAGGAUGACUGCCCUAUGGGUUGUAAACUUCUUUUAUACGGGAAUAAAGUUAGCCACGUGUGGCUUUUUGUAUGUACCGUAUGAAUAAGGAUCGGCUAACUCCGUGCCAGCAGCCGCGGUAAUACGGAGGAUCCGAGCGUUAUCCGGAUUUAUUGGGUUUA
Molecule: ribosomal RNA, 512 nt
Filed under: uncultured bacterium
Lineage: Bacteria
Description: bacterial SSU rRNA
Rfam family: Bacterial small subunit ribosomal RNA
Source: RNAcentral